RNAcentral lists this transfer RNA (72 nucleotides) under Microcaldota archaeon. RNAcentral describes it as "tRNA-Thr". It matches the Rfam family "tRNA". From Rfam's summary of the family: Transfer RNA (tRNA) molecules are approximately 80 nucleotides in length. Lineage: Archaea; Nanobdellati; Microcaldota. The record is from RNAcentral.
GCCCCUGUAGCUCAGCGGUAGAGCGUCUGCAUGGUAAGCAGAAGGUCACGAGUUCAAUCCUCGUCGGGGGCU